RNAcentral lists this ribosomal RNA (344 nucleotides) under Loxodes striatus. RNAcentral describes it as "LSU rRNA". It matches the Rfam family "Eukaryotic large subunit ribosomal RNA", at positions 1 to 362 of the family's 3401-position model. The record is from RNAcentral. Lineage: Eukaryota; Ciliophora; Karyorelictea; Loxodida; Loxodidae.
CUGAUCUGAGGGGAGCAAGAUAACCCGCUGAACUUAAGCAUAUCAGUAAGCGGAGGAAAAGAAACUAACAAGGAUGGCCUUAGUAACGGCGAGUGAAGCGGCCAAAGCCCACUUGUAAAUCUUCGGAAUUGUCAGCUAGGGAGGAAUGGUGUCAGAUUUGAUGGACCUAAGUGGUCAGGAAUGACACGUCAUGGAGGGUGAUAACCCCGUGAGGUUCAGUUAGAUUGAAAACCAAACUAUCUAAGAGUCGGACAGCUUGGGAUUGCUGUCCAAAGUGCGAGGUAAACUCCUCGUAAGGCUAAAUACGUCCAGAGCCCGAUAGUGCACAAGUACCGUGAGGGAAA